RNAcentral lists this ribosomal RNA (88 nucleotides) under Microglena sp. SAG 10.87. RNAcentral describes it as "partial 5.8S rRNA". It matches the Rfam family "5.8S ribosomal RNA", at positions 72 to 154 of the family's 154-position model. Rfam says of the family: 5.8S ribosomal RNA (5.8S rRNA) is a component of the large subunit of the eukaryotic ribosome. Lineage: Eukaryota; Viridiplantae; Chlorophyta; Chlorophyceae; Chlamydomonadales; Chlamydomonadaceae. The record is from RNAcentral.
UUGCAGAAUUCCGUGAACCAUCAAAUCUUUGAACGCAUAUUGCGCCCAAGGCUUCGGCCGAGAGCAUGUCUGCCUCAGCGUCGGGUUA